Molecule: long non-coding RNA, 402 nt
Organism: Capsicum annuum
Lineage: Eukaryota; Viridiplantae; Streptophyta; Magnoliopsida; Solanales; Solanaceae
Exons: 4
Source: RefSeq, a predicted model, not a curated record
UUCACCAAAAUGUUCAUUACAAAAUCAGGUGAUUGCUGACCAAUCACCUCUCAUCUCCUACUUCUACUCACAUACAUACAUUUCCUGGCUAUCUAUAAGUACAUCAAGGAUAAGUAUUCAGCUUCUAUAUAUUCAUCAUGAAUAAGAAGAUUGUAGAUGUACCCACCAUGGAUGAAAAAUUGUAGGUGUACCUAAGGAAGUUGAAGUUUCCACAAAUCUUAUGCACAUAAAUUUCUCCAAAAUACAAAAUGAAUAUUUUGAGAAAUUAGCAAGUACAAUUGAGAAUCGAAAGACACAAAGGAAAUUUAUCAGACCAUUUAUAUAAAGAAUGAUUCCAAAUAUAUUUGUAUGUGCACAAAUAUUAUUAUAUUAUCUUUAUUUAUCUAAAAAUAUAUUUCUCUA